GGUUGGCGGACCCUGAGAGCUGGGGUCAGGUUCUGCGCGUUCUCCGUCUGGCCUCCUGCCGGGUGCCCGGUGUUUCAGGGAUCCUCCUGCGAUUGGCGCCAGAUGUACUGAGCGCAGCAGUUGCUCGACUUAAUCAAAUUGGCCAAUAUUGACCAAGCACCCAAAGGACGAGAUGCUGUAGCCGAGAAUCGGGAAGUCCGGAUUCCGGUCCUGGCUCUUGUCCGUGUUGUGCCCAAGACUGCGAAUCCGAGAAACCACCAAGGAGCCGACUCCGAUGCAAGUACACGAGGGUUUAUUUACAAGCUCGAGCUUGGGUCCAAGUGCACCCGACACAGCGGAGCAGGGGCUUGGACCCCGAGGUGGGUUACAGCUGGGUUUUUUAUGGCCUGGUCUAGGGGAUCUUCAGAAGGGGGAUCCCAAUUUUUUCCAUUCCUAUAUGGGGGAAAGGGUGGGGGAGUUUCUUAAGAUCUGAUAUGGGAUUCCCUGCCGAGGACAUUCUGCAGUUUUUCCUGUGAAGUUCAGCUCUUAUUCCCAGGGACCUAAAAUGGCUGUACUUGUGCUAAUGCUAAACUUGAGGUGGAAUGGCCUUAAUUUUUCUUGGCCUCCACGUCAGGCCUUCUGAGUGAACCUCAGUUAUUUUACUUCACCUCUAAAUGGAUGGCAUGUGCCCUGCCCACCUCGACAGGUUUGUACAGGGUCUUGGAUAUCGUGAAAUCGGGUAAAUUAAAGCACUCUAGAAGAGGAGUUUAGAUUGCUGUUCCUACUGAGUGCCAGGUACUACCCUGAGGGGAUUAAGGAAGAUACAGCACCAGCCCUGACAGCAGGGAGAACACCUUCUAGUUGGUAGAACAAACAUGUCACCUUCACCUCUCUGGACUUGGGUUCUCCUUCAUGAAGUGUGGGGAAUAAGACUCUAUAUGAUCCCUACCAACUUUCUGAAAGUAUGUCCAGUGCGUGUUUUUCCAACCAAACUGAACUCACUCCUGACACUAUGUGGAGAUAGCAUUAGAUCCUACAGGUCAAGGGCUCAGUCCUACAACACUGCUCUUGCCCCCACUUCAGACACUGAUUGCAGGCGUAGGUUGUUACCUGUGCUUCUGACCCACCAGGCAGUAGAUGAUGGGGCGGUCCCAUGACCUGCCCCCCACCUGCCGUAGGACUAAUUUGCUGCAGAGGCUCACAGAACUUGGGGAAACUUUUUGCUUACUAGAUCGCUGGUUUAUUAUAAAAAGCUAAAACUCGGGGACAGAGGAGAAAGAUGCAUAGGGCAAGGUAUGUGGAAAGCUUCCAUACCUUCUCUAGCUGUGCCACUGUCCCAGGACCUACAUGCAUUCACCAACUUAGAAGAUCUCUGAACCCACUGCUUUUGGGGUUGUAUGGAGGUUUUAUUAUACAGACAUGUUGAGUAAAUCAUUAGUUCCAUUUCCAGGCCCUCAGGACUAAAGUUACAAACUUCUAAUCUCCUGGUUGGUUACCCUGGCAACCAACCCACUUUGAUUCCCUAUUCCCAUCCCUCUCUUACCUAGGGGCCUUUCAAAAUCACUACAUUAACAUAAACACCUUCAUGGGUCUUCUCGGGAAAUUCCAUGGAUUUUAGGGUUUUGUGCUAGGAAUGAGGACAAUUAUCAAAUAUAUAUUUAUUGCCACAAUAUCACAGAAUGAUUCUAAGAAAUGAGAAAGAAGGCAUUUUAUACUAAGUGCUCCCCCUGGAAUGACAUAGGUAAUUGGUGUGAUUUCCUGGGAGGAUCAAAGGAUGGGAGGGAUAGUUUGCUGGAAUUUGAAGGAAAGGCUUUCAGGGAGAGGAAGCCAGUGUUAAAAAUUGCAUAAAAACUUGGGGGUAGGAGUUUAUAAAAGGUGAUUCCAGGGUCAGUUUUUUACGAGUACAGCUUGGAGAUGGUAAGAAAGUAACUACCCACCACUGCCUUGUAAUGUGGCCCACCAAAAUCCCAAAAAGGUCUCUGAUGCCUUGGUUUUAACUUUAAAGUUGAUGUAAAUGUUGCAUUCUACUCUACAGCACGUUUUAGGGGGGGGGGGAAAUUUUAGAGUAACUGUCAUCUGGUAAACUUGACAUUUAGUGAUAAUGUUCACUAGGUUUUGGCCCUACUGUUUCAAAGGUCUCCUUCCUCCUCCACACAAACACUCCUAAGGUAUGAAACUUCUAAGAAGCACCAUUGAAGGAAUAGAAGAGGAUAAGACAUGAAGGUAAGUCAGGGUCUGGUUGUAGAAGACUUUAAACAGCAAGAUAAUACGUUUAGAUGUUACACUUGUUAAAAACAAAACAAAACAAAGUUCUACCUAGUAAGUUUGAAGAUCUAAUUGGCUUUUUUAAACAAUUCCUGAAUCCCGCAGCAUCCCAUCUAGGAAGCAGAGAGGAGCUCCACUGAGUUAAACAA
Molecule: long non-coding RNA, 2393 nt
Filed under: Canis lupus familiaris (dog)
Lineage: Eukaryota; Metazoa; Chordata; Mammalia; Carnivora; Canidae
Description: lncRNA (ENSCAFG00845025422.1)
Source: RNAcentral